GGCGUUUCUCAGGUGAUGUGCCCUGGAAUUGGGCUCCCUCCGCUCUGGUUCUGGGUGCGUCACCCGAGAACCACA
Molecule: non-coding RNA, 75 nt
Organism: Myotis davidii
Lineage: Eukaryota; Metazoa; Chordata; Mammalia; Chiroptera; Vespertilionidae
Source: Rfam